UACGGAGGAUGCGAGCGUUAUCCGGAAUUACUGGGUGUAAAGGGAGCGUAGACGGUAAUGUAAGUCUGGAGUGAAAGGCGGGGGCCCAACCCCCGGACUGCUUUGGAAACUGUAUAGCUAGAGUGCAGGAGAGGUAAGCGGAAUUCCUAGUGUAGCGGUGAAAUGCGUAGAUAUCAGGAGGAACACCAGUGGCGAAGGCGGCUUACUGGACUGUAACUGACGUUGAGGCUCGAAAGCGUGGGGAGCAAACAGG
RNAcentral lists this ribosomal RNA (253 nucleotides) under uncultured Eubacteriales bacterium. RNAcentral describes it as "uncultured Clostridiales bacterium partial 16S ribosomal RNA". It matches the Rfam family "Bacterial small subunit ribosomal RNA", at positions 524 to 776 of the family's 1533-position model. The record is from RNAcentral. Lineage: Bacteria; Bacillati; Bacillota; Clostridia; Eubacteriales.